Molecule: ribosomal RNA, 407 nt
Filed under: uncultured bacterium
Lineage: Bacteria
Description: partial 16S ribosomal RNA
Rfam family: Bacterial small subunit ribosomal RNA
Source: RNAcentral
AUUGAACGCUGGCGGCAGGCCUAACACAUGCAAGUCGAGCGGAGCGGCGGAAGGGUGAGUAAUGCCUAGGAAUCUGCCUGGUAGUGGGGGAUAACGUCAGGAAACGGGCGCUAAUACCGCAUACUAUCAGAUGAGCCUAGGGCGGAUUAGCUAGUUGGUGGGGUAAAGGCCUACCAAGGCGACGAUCCGUAACUGGUCUGAGAGGAUGAUCAGUCAACCUGGAACUGCGACACGUUCCAGACUCCUACGGGAGGCAGCAGGUGGGAAUAUUGGACAAUGGGCGAAAGCCUGAUCCAGCCAUGCCGCGUGUGUGAAGAAGGUCUUCGGAUUAUAAAACACUUUAAGUUGGGAGGCGUUACCUACAGAGUAAGCACCGGCUAACUACGUGCCAGCAGCCGCGGUAAUAC